UAACUCUGGUGUCUCCCCAUUCGCGGAUAAAUCUUUUGCCUUUGGCUAUAGAUUUCCGUGGGGAGGCACAAUACAAAGAAUCUUAUCGCAUUUUUUAGCUCUGUAUUCGCACAGAGU
Molecule: small nuclear RNA, 117 nt
Filed under: Trichobilharzia regenti
Lineage: Eukaryota; Metazoa; Platyhelminthes; Trematoda; Strigeidida; Schistosomatidae
Description: U5 spliceosomal RNA
Rfam family: U5 spliceosomal RNA
About the family: U5 RNA is a component of both types of known spliceosome. The precise function of this molecule is unknown, though it is known that the 5' loop is required for splice site selection and p220 binding, and that both the 3' stem-loop and the Sm site are important for Sm protein binding and cap methylation.
Source: Rfam by way of RNAcentral